GAGUGCCCACUUCAACUUCUCCUGUAUUAAAAUUGGAACAAUAGAGAGAUGAUUAGUAUGGAUGACACACAAAUUAGUAAAGCAUUUCAUAUUUUU
This 96-nucleotide small nuclear RNA is filed under the name Aotus nancymaae (Ma's night monkey). Lineage: Eukaryota; Metazoa; Chordata; Mammalia; Primates; Aotidae. The record is from RNAcentral.